GUGCUCGCUUCAGAAGCACAUACACUAAAACUGGAACAAUACAGAGAAGAUUAGCAUAGCUCCAGCUCAAGGAUGACACACAAAUUCGUGAAGCGUUCCAUUAAAAA
This 107-nucleotide small nuclear RNA is filed under the name Castor canadensis (American beaver). Lineage: Eukaryota; Metazoa; Chordata; Mammalia; Rodentia; Castoridae. The record is from RNAcentral.